Molecule: long non-coding RNA, 2432 nt
Organism: Mesocricetus auratus (golden hamster)
Lineage: Eukaryota; Metazoa; Chordata; Mammalia; Rodentia; Cricetidae
Exons: 2
Source: RefSeq, a predicted model, not a curated record
CGUGGUAGCACCAUGGACUUGGGAGAAGCUGGGGAAGCAAGAAGGAACCAGGUAGAAUUACAACUGUCCCGUGUUGUCCCUUCCGACCUCCAUACGCCAAGACUCAGGUGACUUCACACACCCUCACAGCUCUCUGCCUCCCCAUUAGGAGAGUGUAGAGCUAUCCGCCCUAAGGGUGGGGAUAAGGAAAUUUAGGACAGGUGGAGAUAAAGGAUGUCAAAGAGAAACGAAUCCCUCUUCUUCUCCUCUCUUCCCCUGGAAGCCUGCCACGCUUCUGACUCCCCAGUCUUUUGUGUGUUAAGUUCUUAUUCUGGCAGAUAAACAUGUUAUAUUCCCUAUUGCACUGACCUUCCUCAGGAGAGGGCAAUGGAGGGUUGUGCCUCGACCCUCCUCGAGUUUGCCGGACGCUCCUCUUGUCCUUGCUGACGUUAGCUUGCUCGGAUCAACCUGAUCGCCAUCUCUAACAUAGACGGUUUUGUGAGGCCUGUGGUGCCCUUUUGAAAGCGACCCAAAGCGAAGGCGGGUCUUGGGAAGCUCUGGAAAGGUAACACUUUAGGAACUAAACUUUAUUUAGGAAACAGUAACCCACCAGCCAACAGCAGCAGAGAAGAAGCAGCAGGUGUCCAGUCUCCUGACCGUCGGGAAAGGGGGCACCAAGGGCAAGGACUCCCAACUGCCCACACAGCGUGGAUCGGACACGCCCUCAGAAAGGAGCCCAGUUUCCCCCAGGAGCUCUUCUUUUCGUCCUGGAACAGAGUAAGCCGUCCCUUUGGGGACUUCUCAGACGGCUUCUGUGCUGGGAGCUGACAGAAGAAGCUAAAUGCAGCAAGAACACCAGGAGGUCUCAGACGUCAUGGCUUUACCAGAGGACAGAUGCCAUCAGUCCCUGAGCAGAAACCUGACUUCCCCUCCGUCCUUUGAAAAACGGUGAUGCCCUGGCUCUGCUCACACAUUGUCCAGUCAACCUGGGCACCUCUGGCCAGAUGGUGGACGUGCGACAAUGUCCUCCUGGCUGCGUAGCGUUUCCUGGUCAGGACGCCAUUCACAUGUCCAUCUCGAGCACUCACACUAGGGUUAGUGCCGUGCACUUUGUUAAGUUGCUCACUGGAAACCAUUUUAGACGGCAGGGUAAUCAACGAGCGACCAAUAUUAGCACAUGUAAUCUUACACACUCAAUGUAGCUGCCCCUCCCCUUAUCUAGAACUAGAUUUUUGUGCUCUAGGUUUCCUGUAGUCGAUAUCGAUCUGAACAUAUUAAGUGGGAAGUUCCAUGAAUAAAUAAUAGGUAUUAUAUUAUACUAUUCUGGGUAGCAUAAUACUGCGUACUCUCUGGCUCAGGGGGGUGUGGCUCACCCUCUCGUCCAGUGUGCUUACACCGUGAUUGCUACUUGCUUGUAAGUCACUUACUGACUCUGCCGGUUACGCAACCUGUAGCCCUACAAAGCCCAAGGAAGACAGCAUGUUCACAUAACUUUUAUGGGAACACUGCUAAACUCUUGCCUAGUUUACAAACUGCUCUUUAUCAGAGUCACAUCUGUACUUAAAGUAAAAGCACGGGGGUGUAUGGGAAUUGCUGCCAUGCACAGCUUCAGGUACUUGAUGCGGGCUCCAAAGUGUGUUCCCCAGGGGGUGAGAUGGAUCAUUUGCAUGCGUGACAGUUAACCCUGGCUGCCAACUUGACUGGUUCUGGAAUCAGCUAAAAGGCGAGGCACUGGGCUCACCUGUGAGGGAUUUUUCUGACCAGGGCGUUUGAGGUGGGGAGGCUCACAUUAGAUGUGCAGAGCAGCUUCCUGUGGUGAUGCAGAUGAAAAGUGAUGGAGAAGGGGAGCCUUGCUUUUUAGCAUCUGUGUCUUCACUCCUGCUGACAACUUCAUCUACCCGAUCGCUGCCGCUGUUGCUGCUUCCUUUGUGGUUCCAACAGGAACGGGAAGACCAGCCCUUCUCCAGGAACUGCUGAGAUAUUCAGCCUUGUGGACUGUGAUCUACCCAGACCAUAUCAGGGGCUUGACGACGAUCAUCACUUGAGCUAGAGUGGGCUGAAUCACGAAGAUAUUUGAUAACAGGACCAGCAGAAAUCGCUGAUGAACUAGAUGUGGACAUGGAAAAAUUCUUGAACACCUCCAAUGUGUUUGACAUGAGCAGCUGGAAGGAGGAAGACACCAUCCUCUGGGGGAGGGAGACUUCUUGGGAAGGAACAGGAACCCGUCUCCGCUCAAGAGCCCUUGUGAAAUGAUGAGCAGACCUUCCGGUGGGUCUGCAGGGGGAGGAACUCAGGAUCUGAGGUGUAGAAAGGAAUUCUGGACUGGAGAGAGGCUUCAGGAAACCCAACAAGCAAAAAUAUACAGGUCAAGGCUUUCAGCAGCAGCAACAACAAAAUGGUAGUUUUGUUUUCCCAUUGUGCUAGGAUUUUCAGACUGCUAUGCUCAUCCAUGU